Molecule: transfer RNA, 71 nt
Filed under: Loxodonta africana (African savanna elephant)
Lineage: Eukaryota; Metazoa; Chordata; Mammalia; Proboscidea; Elephantidae
Rfam family: tRNA
About the family: Transfer RNA (tRNA) molecules are approximately 80 nucleotides in length. Their secondary structure includes four short double-helical elements and three loops (D, anti-codon, and T loops).
Source: Rfam by way of RNAcentral
GCAUUGGUUGUUCAAUGGUAGAAUUCUCACCUCCCGUGUGAAAGACCUGGGUUCGAUUGCCAGCCAGUGCU